GAGGGUAUAGCUCAGUGGUAGAGUACAUGCCUAGCAUGCAUGAAGUCCUGGGUUCAAUCCCUAGUACCGCCA
RNAcentral lists this transfer RNA (72 nucleotides) under Camelus bactrianus (Bactrian camel). It matches the Rfam family "tRNA". From Rfam's summary of the family: Transfer RNA (tRNA) molecules are approximately 80 nucleotides in length. Their secondary structure includes four short double-helical elements and three loops (D, anti-codon, and T loops). RNAcentral also lists the same sequence under 1 other name. The record is from Rfam by way of RNAcentral. Lineage: Eukaryota; Metazoa; Chordata; Mammalia; Artiodactyla; Camelidae.